GACGAACGCUGGCGGCGUGCUUAACACAUGCAAGUCGAACGAUGAACCCGGAGCUUGCUCCGGCGGAUUAGUGGCGAACGGGUGAGUAACACGUGAGUAACCUGCCCUUGACUCUGGGAUAACUGCUAGAAAUGGUAGCUAAUACCGGAUACGACCCUCGGUGGCAUCACCAGGGGGUGGAAAGAAUUUCGGUCAAGGAUGGACUCGCGGCCUAUCAGCUAGUUGGUGAGGUAACGGCUCACCAAGGCGACGACGGGUAGCCGGCCUGAGAGGGUGACCGGCCACACUGGGACGGAGACACGGCCCAGACUCCUACGGGAGGCAGCAGGGGGGAAUAUUGCACAAUGGGCGCAAGCCUGAUGCAGCAACGCCGCGUGAGGGAUGACGGCCUUCGGGUUGUAAACCUCUUUUAGUAGGGAAGAAGCGAAAGUGACGGUACCUGCAGAAAAAGCACCGGCUAACUACGUGCCAGCCGCCGCGGUAA
Molecule: ribosomal RNA, 484 nt
Filed under: uncultured bacterium
Lineage: Bacteria
Description: partial 16S ribosomal RNA
Rfam family: Bacterial small subunit ribosomal RNA
Source: RNAcentral